RNAcentral lists this long non-coding RNA (444 nucleotides) under Nicotiana tabacum (common tobacco). Its description in RNAcentral is "long non-coding RNA (NTAB_LNC017347)". Lineage: Eukaryota; Viridiplantae; Streptophyta; Magnoliopsida; Solanales; Solanaceae. The record is from RNAcentral.
GUAUAUGACCGUGUACUCUCAGGACUCAAGGGUUGCUCUGCUAUACUAGCCAAGACUUGUUCUCAAAUGGAGGGCCCUUAUAUAGAAUACGUGAAAGCACAAUUCAAUAAACCUGUUUUUCUUGUAGGACCAGUAGUCCCUGAUCCACCUUGUGGUAAAUUGGAAGAGAGAUGGUCUAGUUGGUUAAACAAGUUUGAAGCUGGAACAGUCAUUUACUGUUCUUUUGGAAGUGAAACUUUCUUGAAGGAUGAACAGAUCAAAGAACUGGCUUUAGGUCUGGAGCAAACUGGGCUACCUUUCUUUCUGGUUCUAAACUUUCCUGCUAAUGUUGAUUUCUCAGCCGAGCUAAACCGAGCUUUACCUAAAGGGUUUAUGGAAAGAGUGAAAGAGAAGGGAAUUAUUCAUUCAGGUUGGGUGCAACAACAGCAUAUAUUAGCUCACACU